Molecule: ribosomal RNA, 433 nt
Filed under: uncultured bacterium
Lineage: Bacteria
Description: partial 16S ribosomal RNA
Rfam family: Bacterial small subunit ribosomal RNA
Source: RNAcentral
AACGAACGCUGGCGGCAUGCCUAACACAUGCAAGUCGAACGAGACCUUCGGGUCUAGUGGCGCACGGGUGCGUAACGCGUGGGAACCUGCCCUUAGGUUCGGAAUAACUCCCCGAAAGGGGUGCUAAUACCGGAUAAUGUCUUCGGACCAAAGAUUUAUCGCCUUUGGAUGGGCCCGCGUUGGAUUAGCUAGUUGGUAGGGUAAAAGCCUACCAAGGCGACGAUCCAUAGCUGGUCUGAGAGGAUGAUCAGCCACACUGGGACUGAGACACGGCCCAGACUCCUACGGGCGGCAGCAGUGGGGAAUAUUAGACAAUGGGCGAAAGCCUGAUCCAGCAAUGCCGCGUGAGUGAUGAAGGCCUUAGGGUUGUAAAGCUCUUUUACCCGGGAUGAUAAUGACAGUACCGGGAGAAUAAGCUCCGGCUAACUCCGUG